CAGGCCUAACACAUGCAAGUCGAGCGGGCACUUUCGGGCAUAGUGGCGCACGGGUGCGUAACGCGUGGGAAUCUGCCCUUGGGUUCGGAAUAACCGUUGGAAACGACGGCUAAUACCGGAUGAUGACGUAAGUCCAAAGAUUUAUCGCCCAGGGAUGAGCCCGCGUAGGAUUAGCUAGUUGGUGGGGUAAAGGCCUACCAAGGCGACGAUCCUUAGCUGGUAUGAGAGGAUGAUCAGCCACACUGGGACUGAGACACGGCCCAGACUCCUACGGGAGGCAGCAGUGGGGAAUAUUGGACAAUGGGGGAAACCCUGAUCCAGCAAUGCCGCGUGAGUGAUGAAGGCCUUAGGGUUGUAAAGCGAUUUGACCCGGGAUGAUAAUGACAGGACCGGGAGAAGAAGCUCCGGCUAACUCCGUGCCAGCAGCCGCGG
This 432-nucleotide ribosomal RNA is filed under the name uncultured bacterium. Its description in RNAcentral is "bacterial SSU rRNA". It matches the Rfam family "Bacterial small subunit ribosomal RNA", at positions 43 to 520 of the family's 1533-position model. The record is from RNAcentral.